Molecule: transfer RNA, 72 nt
Filed under: Cerasibacillus quisquiliarum
Lineage: Bacteria; Bacillati; Bacillota; Bacilli; Caryophanales; Bacillaceae
Also listed under: 4 other names
Rfam family: tRNA
About the family: Transfer RNA (tRNA) molecules are approximately 80 nucleotides in length. Their secondary structure includes four short double-helical elements and three loops (D, anti-codon, and T loops).
Source: Rfam by way of RNAcentral
GGCCCGUUGGUCAAGUGGUUAAGACAUCGCCCUUUCACGGCGGUAUCAGGGGUUCGAAUCCCCUACGGGUCA